UACGAAGGGUGCAAACGUUGCUCGGAAUUAUUGGGCGUAAAGCGCACGUAGGCGGCUCUGAAAGUUGGAUGUGAAAUCCCUCGGCUCAACCAAGGAAGUGCAUCCAAAACUGCAGAGCUUGAGUACUUAAGAGGAUCGCGGAAUUCCCGGUGUAGAGGUGAAAUUCGUAGAUAUCGGGAGGAACACCAGUGGCGAAGGCGGCGAUCUGGGAAGAUACUGACGCUGAGGUGCGAAAGCGUGGGGAGCAAACAGG
RNAcentral lists this ribosomal RNA (253 nucleotides) under uncultured bacterium. RNAcentral describes it as "partial 16S ribosomal RNA". It matches the Rfam family "Bacterial small subunit ribosomal RNA", at positions 524 to 776 of the family's 1533-position model. The record is from RNAcentral.